UUCCGGUUGAUCCUGCCGGAGGUCACUGCUAUUGGGAUUCGACUAAGCCAUGCGAGUCGAGAGGGUUCGGCCCUCGGCUGACGGCUCAGUAACACGUGGAUAAUCUGCCCUAAGGUGGAGGAUAACCUCGGGAAACUGAGAAUAAUACUCCAUAGGUCUAGGAUGCUGGAAUGCACUUAGGCUUAAAACUCCGGUGCCUUAGGAUGAGUCUGCGGACUAUCAGGUUGUAGUCAGGGUAAUGGCCUGACUAGCCCACGACGGAUAUGGGUUGUGAGAGCAAUAACCCAGAGAUGAUAUCUGAGACACGAUAUCAGGCCCUACGGGGCGCAGCAGGCGCGAAAACUUCACAAUGUGCGAAAGCACGAUGAGGGAAUCCCAAGUGCUUGCACGUAAGUGUAAGCUGUUUCUAUGUUUAAAACGCAUGGAGAGUAAGGGCUGGGUAAGACGGGUGCCAGCCGCCGCGGUAAUACCUGCAGCUCGAGUGGUGGCCACUAUUAUUGGGCCUAAAACGUCCGUAGCCGGUUUAAUAAAUGCCUGGGUAAAUCGUGUAGCUUAACUAUACGAAUUCCGGGUAGACUGUUAAACUUGAGAUCGGGAGAAGUUAGAGGUACUCCUGGGGUAGAGAUGAAAUUCUGUAAUCCUAGGGGGACCACCAGUGGCGAAGGCGUCUGACUAGAACGAGUCUGACGGUGAGGGACGAAGCCCUGGGUCGCAAACCGGAUUAGAUACCCGGGCAGUCCAGGGUGUAAACGCUGCUUGCUUGAUGUUAGUCGGGCUCCGAGCCCGAUUAGUGUCGGAGAGAAGUUGUUAAGCAAGCUGCCUGGGAAGUACGGUCGCAAGGCUGAAACUUAAAGGAAUUGGCGGGGGAGCACAGCAACGGGUGGAGCGUGCGGUUUAAUUGGAUUCAACGCCGGA
RNAcentral lists this ribosomal RNA (915 nucleotides) under uncultured archaeon. Its description in RNAcentral is "bacterial SSU rRNA". It matches the Rfam family "Archaeal small subunit ribosomal RNA", at positions 1 to 922 of the family's 1478-position model. The record is from RNAcentral.